AGAGCAGGUGGAAGACUACACGGGUACAAUAACUCGAUCAGUUGAAUAUGGUGCCCGUUUGAGCGGUGAAUAUUCGAAGCGGCCUAGUCGCGCGUCGGAACCAUGAAUAUCCGCGCGCAGACACGGGGCCGUUGCGUUGGCCGCACUGGCUCGACCAAUUACUAGUGCGCCGGCCGACCGUCGGAGUGCGCCGUCGUCGCGGCGGCCGGCGUAACGGAACGGAACGGCGGUGCUCGGCAUCUAGCCAAUGGCCAAACGACGCGCCACCGUUACAUUUUCACUACGGGCGCCCAACGCUCGUCACGUCCGUCACGCGCCUACGUUAUUUCUGAUGUGGUUCUCAUCCAGCGUUGUCGUUUCGAACGAUAACGCCAUCGCUGACUGGCGACUGCAGCCCACGGAACCGCCGCUUCAGUCGGUCUCAAACGUUUCGUCGAGAUGAAGACCCGUACUCGCCGUUUUCCGGUUUAGAUAUUGUAAGAGGAACGGAAACGACAAUAGCGGCGGCGGCGGCGAUAGUCACUGUGAUCGCAGUCCAUUCGACGACCGACGGAAGUUCAUCUGCCGCCGAUAGGUGAGUUAAGCGCCGACCCAGUCGGCACUGUUCAAAAAUGUAUUUUUCAGUUAAAAACCGUUACCGCGGAACGGGAGCGAUGCGCGCGCACGCCCGGUGAACGCGCCCUAAAUCCAAUGCCACAGUCGUCGCCCGUUGACCCCGAUCGCCGCGACGACGGGUAAUGUAACAAAACGCAUUUCUGCCCCUCUUCCGACGUCUCGCCGUUUGCCGCGAUCACACGCGGCUAGCUACAACGCCGGCACGGUCGUGUACAGUUUCUUUCGGGUAAAACGCGUGUAUUUAAUAAAAUGUUAUUGACGUCGUCACGACAACCAGCAAUAUUAUUGUACGCGUGAUGACGAUCGCGUACUUGUUGCACCCCUACGCGUCGUCUUAUCCGCUCUUACGAGUCUGGUAUUUCGCCGCGUCGCGUCUCCCGUUCGCGCCGUACGGACAUUCCGUCGCGAAACCGACGCGCAUUUUCGGCCGCGGCGGCGCCACCUCCGCGCCGUGAAAUUUACGACACAAUAUUAUAUUAUUAUUUUAUCGAUUCGCGCGCGCGGCGGGACGUGGAAUCGUUUCAUUGUGGUGGAAGCGCAACGUGGCGGCGGGAACACCGGCGACCUCUAGUGUGACGUGCCCGCAGCGGUUCAGUGACCUCGGCACGUGUACCAGAUGCCGCGGUCAGUCGUUCAAUCGUUAUCAACCGUCGUUUCUCGGUGGCGGCGGUGGUCAUGUGCCAGCCGUGUGCGCGCGCGGAGCGAUGCGCUCGCUCGAAGAAACAAGGUCGCGGCGGUUACCGUCGGUCCGAUCGCGGCCGCCCGUCGCGACGGUUUGUUUUUCCGUUUUCCGACGAUUUUCCGCCAACGACGACGCGUCGUACGGAGGUUGUCGGCGCGGCGCAUGCGCAUUACUGGCGGCGGCGGCAACCGGUCAAAAGUCGAAACGUACAAUAAUAUUAUAUUUUGCGUCGUCCGUCUUCUACAGAGAGUAAGUUGUAAUGGUUCAACGUGUCGUCGUCAUACGACUUGUACGUGACACGAAGUCCAUCAUCGCGAGUGUACGCCGUCGACUUCGUUUCACGUCCGACGCAGAUGUGUGUAGUGCUGCGCAGUUUAUAACCUUUAAUGAUGUCAUGCGUCUGGAUUCUCGCACCAAUCAUCACCGAUAUUGUAACACGGAUUACUGAUCGUCGCAGUCUUCAGCCAGUAGCUAAGCCAGUUAUAAGGUCGCGCAACCCACACGAGCAGUGUAUAAGUGACCACGUCCUUCACGACUCCCUUUGCCUUGUUCGUGUACAUUGCUAGACACGUUGUCAAUACGCUGCCGUGUCAACGCUUAUAGCACGUACAUAACAUACGUAUAAAAUUAUAUGCAAACAAUAUAGGGUGUUUCCCCGACGAGCGUUUGCAGUCUUCAACAUUUUUUUAUCUCAGGUAAUGUAUAUUAUAAUACCUACCUAUAUGUUAUACACUCGAGUGUAGUACUAUAUGUGUAAUAUAUUUUAUGAAACACCACCCGAAUCAAAUCGUAACUAUGUUUUAGAGAGAGAGAGACUAGAGAGAGAGAGAUAGUUAUAAAUAUCGUAGACAACAUACUAAAAAAAAAAAUUAUAUACUUUAGUGUUUUAUUAAUUUUUUUUCUAAAUCAUUGAGAUGAUUUGUGUAAACAUCGUGAGUUGAAUGAUUUAACUAGUUCUAUGAUAACAGAAGUUCGACUAAACUCAAUAUAGGUAUUAUAUUAAUAUUUUCAUUAAGCGUUUUAAUGUGAGAUUUUAACUUUGGUCGUAUAUGAGAUUUGCUUAUAUUAUAUACUAUAUAUAUAGCUUAUACAUCAAAGUUGAUGUGGAAAAGUCGUUGUGAGGCAUACUGUAUACGAGUAAACACGUAUACCUAUAUAUACACGGGUAUAAUAUUUAUAUUUAUGUACGACAGCUGAACAUAUGUACUGUACUUAACGAACAACCACUUGUACUCGUAGUCUUUCUUACAUUAUUAUAUUGUGUUGUAGCAAUAUUGUAAGCGCAUCGUAUAUGAUAUUAUGCCUAUUAUUAUUGUUUGAUAAGUUGUUUUCAACGUGCACUAUACAUCUUACGAAAUCGGUUAAACGAAUCACAAACGAUAACAAUCGUAUCGAGACAGUUUAUUAUAUUUGCGAGCUUUCGGUGCACAAGUACAUAUUAGGGUCUUUCUCUCUCUCUGUGUAUGUAUGUUUUAUAUAUUAUAUAAGAAAUUAAGUUACACACCAACUGAAUAUGAAAAAUACACCAGUUUCCGUGAUUAUAUAUACUCGUAAAUUUGAUCGUUGUAACUGGUGAGCUGCAAAACUCGUGCUAUUGAUCGUUAUAUAUAUUAUAUUAUGAUAUUUUCGUUGCAAAAAAUGACUCGGAGAAAUAAUGUCCCGCUACAAAAUUCCGGUUGCGUUUUUUUCGGCUGAAUUAUUUCUGUUAAUAUUUAUACAUAAGCUCCAUUUUCCUACACACACAGGAUUUAUAUGCAAAUCGCGUUGGUUUGGAAAAAAAUACGGGACUGACCGGUAAUAACAUUUAUCUUGUUAACUUGUAUAUAUGAUAAUAAAUUAACAUGAUUAAAAUUUAUGAUGUGCGAUUUUGUUUGGACUUUUAAAAUAUUUAAAAUAUGAGGUGAAUCCAUAUAUAGAUAUACCCAUGUUAUUUUUAUCGCAUGGUUCUGUCAUAUAUACAUACAAUAUAAAUAUGAUAUAUUGAAUAUAUGCAUAAUUAUAAUAUGACAGCCAAUUGACAGGCUGUUUGUUAAGUAAAUGUUUGUUUUUAUUUUAGAACUGUAUAGUAUUAUACAGUUUCUCAGUACAAAGUUCGAUUCAUGCAUAGGACAAUUCAAUUUAAAAUAAAUUUUAAUAAAGGUUUUAUACUAUAGUAAAAAUAUAAAUAGAACUGAUAUAUUUUCAUACUGAUUGUGGU
Molecule: long non-coding RNA, 3494 nt
Organism: Aphis gossypii (cotton aphid)
Lineage: Eukaryota; Metazoa; Arthropoda; Insecta; Hemiptera; Aphididae
Exons: 3
Source: RefSeq, a predicted model, not a curated record